CCUAUUGGUACGCGGAGGGACAUUACCGAGUUAUACAACUCCCAAACCCACUGUGAACCUUACCUCAGUUGCCUCGGCGGGAACGCCCCGGCCGCCUGCCCCCGCGCCGGCGCCGGACCCAGGCGCCCGCCGCAGGGACCCCAAACUCUCUUGCAUUACGCCCAGCGGGCGGAAUUUCUUCUCUGAGUUGCACAAGCAAAAACAAAUGAAUCAAAACUUUCAACAACGGAUCUCUUGGUUCUGGCAUCGAUGAAGAACGCAGCGAAAUGCGAUAAGUAAUGUGAAUUGCAGAAUUCAGUGAAUCAUCGAAUCUUUGAACGCACAUUGCGCCCGCCAGCAUUCUGGCGGGCAUGCCUGUUCGAGCGUCAUUUCAACCCUCGAGCCCCCCCCGGGGGCCUCGGUGUUGGGGGACGGCACACCAGCCGCCCCCGAAAUGCAGUGGCGACCCCGCCGCAGCCUCCCCUGCGUAGUAGCACACACCUCGCACCGGAGCGCGGAGGCGGUCACGCCGUAAAACGCCCAACUUUCUUAGAGUUGACCUCGGAUCAGGUAGGAAUACCCGCUGAACUUAAGCAUAUCAAA
RNAcentral lists this ribosomal RNA (582 nucleotides) under Purpureocillium lilacinum. RNAcentral's name for it is "eukaryotic LSU rRNA". The stretch from base 215 to 368 matches the Rfam family "5.8S ribosomal RNA". Lineage: Eukaryota; Fungi; Ascomycota; Sordariomycetes; Hypocreales; Ophiocordycipitaceae. The record is from RNAcentral.